Molecule: ribosomal RNA, 441 nt
Filed under: uncultured bacterium
Lineage: Bacteria
Description: bacterial SSU rRNA
Rfam family: Bacterial small subunit ribosomal RNA
Source: RNAcentral
CGGUGCGCCUUAUGCAUGCAAGUUGAGCGAAGCUUUUUGGUAGUUUACUACUAGAAAUGACUGAGCGGCGAACGGGUGAGUAACGCGUGAGCAAUCUACCUUAGUUACUGGGAUAGCCCGAGGAAACUCGGAUUAAUACCGGAUAUUCUUAUUUUUUCACAUGAAGUUUUAAGGAAAGGUCAGCCGAACUAAGAUGAGCUCGCGUUCUAUCAGCUAGUUGGUGGGGUAAAAGCCUACCAAGGCUACGACGGAUAGCUGGUCUGAGAGGACGAUCAGCCACACUGGGACUGAGACACGGCCCAGACUCCUACGGGAGGCUGCAGCAGGGAAUAUUGUGCAAUGAGCGAAAGCUUGACACAGCGACACCGCGUGUGGGAUGACGGUUCUAGGAUUGUAAACCACUUUCAGGAGGGAAGAAAAUGACGGUACCUCCACAAGAAG